This 949-nucleotide long non-coding RNA is filed under the name Homo sapiens (human). Its description in RNAcentral is "HSALNT0012972". Lineage: Eukaryota; Metazoa; Chordata; Mammalia; Primates; Hominidae. The record is from RNAcentral.
CACUGCGGGGUUGGUAGCGUAGCAGAAAGUUCAAUACUUCAGCCUGGCCCCAUUGGUCCAGUUUUGACAUUCUAUCCAAAAAACAAAACAAAAGAGCUAUUUUAGCAACAAAAUUAGGACCAUUUCCAUGCCACUGCCAUAUGACCAGGUGGUUGUUCAUCAUAGCAAAGGGAGAAUUCUUAAAAAUAGGCUGUGCCAUAAUUAAGUCACUUUUCAUGUACUAUUUAAAGUUUACACAAAAAAGGCUUAAAAUUCCAAGAUGAGUUGUUAAUACAAAUGCACACUCCUCUAAGACCAAAGACAUGAUCAGCAUACACUGGGUCCAGGUUCCUUACAUUUUAAGACACUAUAAAUGGCUUAGUUUGGGGGACAUGACUAGAGAAGGGUAGAACCUAUUCCCACAGUAUAUUUCUAUUUCCCUAUAUCAAUAAGGGAAAGUAAGGCAAAUAAAAGAAAUUCUCUCAGUGGAAUGUGAGGGAGUUAAUAGUGGUUAACUGGCCGGGCGCAGUGGCUCACGUCUGUAAUCCCAGCACUUUGGGAGGCUGAGGCGGGCGGAUCACCUGAGGUCAGAAGUUUGGGACCAGCCUGACCAACAUGGUGAAACCCUGUCUCUACUAAAAAUACAAAAUUAGCCGGGCAUGGUGGCGCAUGCCUAUAAUCCCAGCUACUCGGGAGGCUGAGGCAGGAGAAUUGCUUGAACCCAGGAGGCGGAGGUUGCGGUAAGCCGAGAUAGCGCCAUUGCACUCCAGCUUAGACAACAAGAGCAAAACUCCGUCUCAAAUAAUAAUAAUAAUAAUGGUUAACUUUCUUUUCUACCCCACAUAAGUUGUUCAAUACUUUAAUACAUCAACAAGAUCCCACAAGGUAGCAGAUCUCAUAAUAAAAAGAGUGCUGAGGCAUCCAAACCGAUUUAAGAGAUGGUGAGCAAUGGGCUUAUUGAUGACAACGC